AACUCCUUACGUAUCUUUCACCCU
RNAcentral lists this non-coding RNA (24 nucleotides) under Arabidopsis thaliana (thale cress). The record is from RNAcentral. Lineage: Eukaryota; Viridiplantae; Streptophyta; Magnoliopsida; Brassicales; Brassicaceae.